Molecule: ribosomal RNA, 496 nt
Filed under: uncultured bacterium
Lineage: Bacteria
Description: partial 16S ribosomal RNA
Rfam family: Bacterial small subunit ribosomal RNA
Source: RNAcentral
GACGAACGCUGGCGGCGUGCCUAAUACAUGCAAGUUGAGCGCUGAAGGUUGGUACUUGUACCAACUGGAUGAGCAGCGAACGGGUGAGUAACGCGUGGGGAAUCUGCCUUUGAGCGGGGGACAACAUUUGGAAACGAAUGCUAAUACCGCAUAAAAACUUUAAACACAAGUUUUAAGUUUGAAAGAUGCAAUUGCAUCACUCAAAGAUGAUCCCGCGUUGUAUUAGCUAGUUGGUGAGGUAAAGGCUCACCAAGGCGAUGAUACAUAGCCGACCUGAGAGGGUGAUCGGCCACAUUGGGACUGAGACACGGCCCAAACUCCUACGGGAGGCAGCAGUAGGGAAUCUUCGGCAAUGGACGAAAGUCUGACCGAGCAACGCCGCGUGAGUGAGGAAGGUUUUCGGAUCGUAAAACUCUGUUGGUAGAGAAGAACGUUGGUGAGAGUGGAAAGCUCAUCAAGUGACGGUAACUACCCAGAAAGGGACGGCUAACUACGU